UUUACCUUGCCUUGCCAAACGCGGGGCAAAUUAUUUCUAUGUAUAAACCGAUCUAAUACAAGACCCCCUGUUACACCCGAUUCGUUGGUCCAUCAAAAUUUAAUGGGUUUCAGGAAUAUCUUAAAUUUCCGAUAAUAUGACAAAAUAAAAGGAAAAUUGUUGAUGGGGGAGAUUUUGUGGGCAGAUAUUGGACGCCAUAUGUUGAUGUCGUGACAAGCGAAUUAUCCGGCAUCGUGUUACUGGCGCUACUCCUCAAACUUUGUUUACGGUUCCCAAAAAUGUACAAUACAUUUUAUAAUCAGCACGAAACGGAAUCUCGUGGUGUUAAUCUAGGCACUUCAUUAACACAUAAUGUAAGAAAUCUGUCAGCUUAUAUUAUGGUGAAUUUAAUUUUGCUUUCCGAUGCUGUUUUUCGUGUGGCCAAAUGCCUUGCAGCUGUUUUGGGGAUAUGUCGUUUAUAUAGUGUUACUGUGGGAAUGUAGUGGGACUGUGUGACUAGUUUCACGUUUGUAUUAAAAGUUCUUUGCCUUGGGGCUUUGUUUGUUUUACUGUCAUCGUUCACUGUUGUGAUCGUAAUUUCAUGCAUGAUUUUUACACUAUGUAAAUUUUUGUGAUCACAGUGGGAAUUUUGCAUAACUUAGAGUCAGUUCCCACGAACAAUUCCUACACAUCCUUCAAAACUUAGAAUUUACCCUCAUGUAAAAAUGUUUACUGUGAUCACAGAAACUUCCACAGUGUAAAGCAGCCUUAAAUAUGCAAAUGGCGAAAAGUAUAUCAUUGACUGAAGCCUGACCCUAAAACAAUAUCACUCAACCUACUGUUGUUCAGAGACUUGAGUUACGAUCCCCCCUCGCACAAUUCCCCUCCCCCCACACACACAAUUCCCUCCCUCCCCCACAAUC
This is a non-coding RNA of Paramuricea clavata, 902 nucleotides long. Lineage: Eukaryota; Metazoa; Cnidaria; Anthozoa; Malacalcyonacea; Plexauridae. The record is from the annotation of a GenBank genome assembly.